GUGCGAGCGGUAGUCCACCACCCCUUUCUGUGAUUCUUGGUUUCGCCCCUAUAACCUUCCAUGCGUGACAAACCCCUAUGGAUUGAAACCCUAGUAUGGCACACCCUAGUAUAAUAAAGCAAAGGGCGACACAGAGGUAUUUCUUGUCUUGGUCUAGUCGAAACUUAGGACGUAGUGGAUCAUUCACCAUCACCAUCGUGUACGUGCAUCGUGGAUGCGAUCAACGUUCAUGCAUCACAAGUACCUCGACCAUGAAACCGUUCUUCAAGUUCAACCUUUGAGGAGCAUCGCACAGUCUAUGAGCUGCCGGGGACUAAUUCCUUUAGCUGCGUUGGACUCAUUCUUUUAGCGGCGUUCUCCGUGGAUCAUCUCUUAUUCAUAGUAGGACCAUCGUUCAUGGAGGACAUCAUAGUAGGACCGUCGUUCAUUCAUCGCGAACGGCCUAGGCAAGGGAAUCAUUAUGAAAGUCACUUCACCUAUUCUGCGAACGAUCAUCGGACCCGGACCCCGAGGCACAAUUCCAUCAUUCAUUCAUAGGUAGGUCGUCCACACACUCGUUCUUUGCUCUGGUCCAGCAACUACGUCUUCGUUCGUUCGUUCAUCGAUGGUCCCGGGGCAUAUAAAGUACUUCGCUCGUUCAUGCAUCUUGGGUGCGAUCAACGUUAACAAAUGUUUGUUCGGGAACUGCUAAAGUUAAUAAGAAUAAUGGGUGUGUUGUCGAUUCAAGAGAUGGAUCAGGGGGCCUAAGAUCAUAGGUUUUGUAGUUGAAAGCCGGUGUUCAAGCCAACAACUCUACCUGGGAACUUUUCCUCUGUAUAGUAGCAAAUAGCCUGCCUUUUUUCUAUGAUUGAUAUACCAAUAAGAAUAGAGGGCCCGCACUACGUCCAUGAUUGAUAGAAUCACUACACUAGUAUUUUGGGGUCCAUCCCACCUAUACAAACAUAGAGAAAACAUAUAGAAAAGAGAAAACAAAACAUAUAGAAAAGAGAAAACAUAUAGGAAAUGGAAAUAGAAGAGACCUUUUUUCUAAUACAUUUCCUUCAUAGAAUAGGGGAGAAUAUUAUAUACAUGAACUGAAUCAUCAAUAUGAGAUGAGGUAAUGGUAAUGCCAGGCCCAACUACAAGGAUUAGACCAGGGAAUGUAAGGCAGUUGACCUAAAGCGAGAGCCAGGAAAGCAAUACUUUUGUUACGGCGCAAGGGGCUGGGUUUCUAGCUUAGGUGUUUCGUUCUUGAUUCUGAUUUUCAUUGGCGUAGUUCAGUAGCGCACGUAGUAGUAAUGAGUGACGCAAUACAUAGGAAGAGGGACGGACAGUUCCGACUGAGACUGAAAGGAACACGGGGAAGGCAGAGUAGGCUAACAAUCACAUAAAUAGGAUCCCCGGAUCAGUAGUUCGAUUACCGGUUAUGAGUUAAAGUCCCAUUGACAGUGGUUUCAUUCAAGUAGUCGUAAGUUAGAGUCUUGUUAACGAUGGUUUGAUCCCUUAGGGAAUACAUAUGUUAGAUCAGUAGGGGCGGAGUGAAAACAAGUAAGGACAAGCUCAUAGCAAGUAAAGCAAUACCUUAUACCGAGGUAGGUGUGUGGACCUCUAAGGCAUUAGUUGAAGGACCCGGAUCAGUGUUUAGAGAGUUAGAUCGAGGGGCGGGGGACUGAUAAAACGAAACACAGUUAUGGGCUUGGGAAGCUAGUGAGUUAGGCUUGAAGAAAGGACAUUGAGAUCGGUAGCGGCGGACUAAAAGCAGUAGUCGAUGCUAGUUUAGAUGGGGCUUGUUUAUGCCUGCCUAUACGAACCACAAAGAUAAGCCCUCUCUCCCC
Molecule: long non-coding RNA, 1814 nt
Filed under: Musa acuminata (dwarf banana)
Lineage: Eukaryota; Viridiplantae; Streptophyta; Magnoliopsida; Zingiberales; Musaceae
Description: long non-coding RNA (MACU_LNC008309)
Source: RNAcentral